This 483-nucleotide ribosomal RNA is filed under the name uncultured bacterium. Its description in RNAcentral is "partial 16S ribosomal RNA". It matches the Rfam family "Bacterial small subunit ribosomal RNA", at positions 28 to 523 of the family's 1533-position model. The record is from RNAcentral.
GACGAACGCUGGCGGCGUGCUUAACACAUGCAAGUCGAACGGUGAAAGCGGAGCUUGCUCCGCUGGAUCAGUGGCGAACGGGUGAGUAACACGUGGGCAACCUGCCCCUGACUUCGGGAUAACUCCUCGAAAGAGGUGCUAAUACCGGAUACGAAUCCUGCAGGCAUCUGCGGGAUUGGAAAGUUUUUCGGUCAGGGAUGGGCCCGCGGCCUAUCAGCUUGUUGGUGAGGUAGUGGCUCACCAAGGCGACGACGGGUAGCCGGCCUGAGAGGGCGCCCGGCCACACUGGGACUGAGACACGGCCCAGACUCCUACGGGAGGCAGCAGUGGGGAAUAUUGCGCAAUGGGCGAAAGCCUGACGCAGCAACGCCGCGUGAGGGAUGACGGCCUUCGGGUUGUAAACCUCUUUCAGCAGGGAAGAAGCGUAAGUGACGGUACCUGCAGAAGAAGCACCGGCUAACUACGCGCCAGCAGCCGCAGUAA